Molecule: RNA transcript, 1006 nt
Organism: Agrilus planipennis (emerald ash borer)
Lineage: Eukaryota; Metazoa; Arthropoda; Insecta; Coleoptera; Buprestidae
Gene name: ubiquitin-conjugating enzyme E2 Z-like
Exons: 3
Source: RefSeq, a predicted model, not a curated record
UUUUCUCAAAAGUUUUACGUUCUACUAAACCGAGUUUUAAACAAUAAAGAGAAAUAUUUAACUCCUUUUAUUAACAAUGGAAAUUCAUUUAUUUCUUUCUUUUUACAAAACAAAUGAAGCAAAAUAAUAAGUAUUGUUUACUGAGGAGACAAUAGGCUGUUUAUAGCAAUUGUAGACGUUACUAUCAUCGGUAUUGCUAUCUGAAAUUUAAUUGCUGCGAGUGGGACUGAUAGAGGGGCAGUACAUGUACUCGAACAACAUGACAAAAUAAUCCUGAUCAUUACAAUGUUUUAAGAUUGUCGUAUGUAUUUAUGUAUUUCCAAUUGCUUUUGCACACGAUACCAAUUUUGCACUCGUUUCACACCUGCUAAUCGAUAUUUAAAUCAAUGCCAAGGUACCCCGGACUCAAUUUUAUAACAAAAAUAUUAAUUUCCUUAGUAACAGUGAGUAUCAAACUAAUGUACAUAAAUAUAUCAGUAUAUGUGUGGAUUUCGAUCUAUUACAUCACAAUUGGUCAAAAAUAAUGAGUAUAUAAAGGUAUUGCAUUGGCGACCAUUUCUUUUUUCAAUUUAAUGCAGUUGGUUUGAUCUUAAGGUGCCUUAACAGAAUGCCAUGGAACUGUAGACUUAAGUCACAGCCAAUGGAAUCCGAUUAAUGAUAAAGAAGUGGAUGCACUAUCACAUACAGCAUCUGCUCGCAUAAAGCGAGAUAUGGUAAAUUUCUUUAACGACCCUCCCUUUGGAUUAUAUGCAGUCCUCGAUGAAGAUAAUCUCAAAUUAAUACAUGCAAUCAUUAUUGGAGUUGCAAAUACACCUUAUGAAGGAGGAUUUUUCUAUUUUAUACUAAAAUGUCCCAAUGACUACCCAUUUCACCCCCCAAAGGUUAAACUUAUGACUACGGACGUAGAAAAUGUUCAAUUCAGUCCCAAUUUCUCUAGAAUAGGGAAAGUUUAUUUGAGUAUUUUAGGGUAAACGAAAUAUUAUUUGCAUUUUAAAUCAAAAUACAA